GAAAUAUUGGAUUGGAUGACAGCCUCAGCAAACUCCUUCCUGGAGAAAAACCACGCCAAAAAAAAGAUUUUGGCACGACCUCCUACAAGAAACCAGGUCCUCCGACACCGAGCAAAAAUGGCGGCCGUUUAUCACUUCAGGGAAAUGAGGUUCAACCUUUACGUGAACACAAUGACAGGACUUCUCCAAAAAAAACUACUCCAAGUAGAAUCAAAGCAUUAUUCAUGGGUCGAACUAGUCUAAGGGAAAAUUCCGAGAACCAUUCCACUCCAAAGACCAAUAAGCGACUGAGUAUUUUCCGAAAGCAAAAGUAAUGGAAAUGCAACUUGCCAGUUAUUUAAUAAAAUGUAUUAAUUCUUCUUAUUUAUUUAUGUAAUUUAUGUUUUAACUGUGUUGACGAAAAUUGUUUGUACAAAAACAAAUAAAAAUUAUUUCAGUUUU
Molecule: long non-coding RNA, 441 nt
Organism: Leptinotarsa decemlineata (Colorado potato beetle)
Lineage: Eukaryota; Metazoa; Arthropoda; Insecta; Coleoptera; Chrysomelidae
Source: RefSeq, a predicted model, not a curated record